UCUUAAAAAUGCUUUCCUACUACUUGAAAUUCAGGUUCUGAAAUUCAGGUAGACUGUGGAAGCUUUUACUGGAUCCAUAACACAUGCAAGUUAGCACCACUGCCAAGGAUUUGGUGCUCUUAACAGAAGACACUGACUAAAUACACAGUAUGUUUACGAUUCAUCACUUAUGUCCCUACAGGUGAGAGUCAAGGAAGUUUCCCAGGGACCGAGACGAAGAAAAGCAGCAGGAGCAACCUGUGGACUACAUGCCAAGAGCUCAGCAGUCAGUAAGCCAUGCCCAAUGCCCGGCGCUCCACCUCCUGCCAUGCAUGGCUGUCCCAGCAGCCGCCAGCCCUGUACGGAGCCGUGCUGCAGCAUGCAACACCUGAACAGGCUGUGAAACCCCUGAGCUAAAGUCACUGCGAGAGCAGGAAGGUGCAGCAAACUGAACAGCCCAGCUGACGUGCAGACACAUGGAAAACACCUUCAAGAAAAGUUCAGAAAGAUAACAUAUCUCAUGUGCCAUGGAAGUAACACACUCUGUCUUCAGUGUAACUAUCAGCAGUCAGUCAGUACUCAGAGCAUUCCCUGACAGAGGACGCCUGAACCUCCAGCAUGCCCGCACCUGGAACCUACAGCAUAACAAAGUGGUUUGAAUUCAGAACAACAGCCGUCCCGUACGGCAGCCUCCUCUGGCUACCAAACGAGUGCACCUUCCUGCAGUCUGCCACAGUUUGAGCGCAGCAAGGCUAACUGAGGGCUGAACAAUGGAACCCAGUGGAGAUGUGAAGAAUGGCUCACCUGCCUGUGGAGGUGACCGCGUACAGGAGGGCACAGAGACCUUUCUGCCACGAGGUACGGCACACACAGAUGUACCACCAUGUGUGGUUUCAAGUACAACCCCACAGCAGUAGCACUGAAAGCCUAACAGUGCAAUUCACAGAUCUGAUUCCUCCCUAUAAAAUAGAUAUCCAGCUGUCCCUUUUCCAGUUCAGGUAUUUAAUCUUCUGAUGUGAGCUGGAAUGAAAACAUUUAGAAGAGUAACAGAAAGACAAUGUCCUCAUUUUCUCUCUCACACCACUCACAAAUGCGAUAAAGUACACAGAAUUUUAAAUGUAAAGAAACAAGUCCAUAUUCUUAAAACGGGUAUUCCUAUAUUUUUGAAACAAAAUGUUCACACUAUAGAUGAUUGCUUAAAGCUUUUCAGUACUUCGUUUCCUUAACGUCCCAUUUUCUACAUGCCCUGUGUUACUAGCAUCCAUUCUUUGAAGUGCAUAUCUCCACUAAACCCAGAACUGUUUAAGUGACUCAUUUGUUCUCUGCUCAUUAGUUCAGAAUCAACUGCUCCUGUUGUAUUGUAGCAUAAGGAUUCAACUUUCACCAUUUAAAAUCUUGUUUUUAAUUGUUAUUACAAUGCUACCUGCAUUCUUAAACUCGGUUAUUGGUAACUUUACGUGGUCUUAUUUCUGCACAGAGCACCGACUCUACAUUCCUUAUUUCUUCAGAACACACUUUCCAGGAAACACUAGUUUGAGAACAUGGCUUUAUCUCACAAACAAAAGCACUUUUCAGUCUUUCUUAUCAACCUCAGGCACAGCACCCAGAAAUGCUGUGCAUUGCUGACUCCACAGACCACCACGUUCCACAAGAAGUUUCAGCAUUCCUUGAGAUGUGAAAAAUAGAAUUAGUGGUACAGGGUAGUCUGUGGCGUGGGAUAUUCGUGGCAGACCUGGGGUUACUUCCUGCUCCAUCACAAGUGUCUGAGUCACCACAGGAAACUACUUCCCUGCGUUUAGAGCACUGUGUGUAGCUGCAAGCCUCAGACAAAAAUGCAAAAAGCGAUGAAUUAGCAUGAGAAGGAUACUAAAUUAACUCUGUAGACCCUCUUCAAAUUUACUUCCAGUCAGCAGCAACAAAAUGUCACGACAUGCUAAAUGACAUUAUGUUAAACUAUUUCAAGAUCUCAAUCCUUAAUCCAGCAAUAGUCAGACUGCAAUCACUGAUUACUUUCCAAGGAUGAUCCAAGUCCUGCUCACAUAUGGAUAACUGCCUUCUUCGAAGCCCAGCAUGUUCUACAUCAGAGACAAAUUAGGGAGAUGAGGCAUUUGCAACAUCCUUCUCACUGAUUUUAAGUAAUCUGAAGACCCUCUUCUUCCACCAACUCCACAAUGACAUUUUAUGGAAAGCCAGUAAUAGAAAUCUCUCUUUGGAGGAAUCCUUGGAUUACCAAAAAACGUUCUCUCAGCAUUCCCUCUGAAGAUCCAAGGUGAAUAACCCAGGUUUUGAAGCUAGUGAUUCAUAUUCAGCAGAACAAUAGCUCUCAGACCAGAGAACUGUAUUUUCUCUUACCACUAUUAAUUUCUGUUCAGGUUUAUCGAAAAUAUGAAUGAAAUGCGCAAUUUCACUCACUUGUAUCACCUGGGAAACGCUUCAUGGCAUAAAAAAUUAAAAUCCAGCCAUAAUCACUCUGAAGUUGGGCUGAGACUGUGCCAGAAAAUAAAACACAGGCCAUUACAAAUGCUUGGGAAACGACAGGUGCAGGUACACCUUUCUGCCACUUCGUGCUCCCUCAGUACUUUCUAGAUUCAAACAUUACUACACCCUUUGCUGCAAAGUAUUGUCCCCCCCCCUUCUGUCACAUGGUUAGAUCAAAACUUUACAUUGCAAUGCUGAAUCCAGAACAUCAAACCCUAACAAUGACUCACUACCUGAAAUUUAACUGUAAAUGUCAGUAUUUUCAAACCUUUUUCUUUUAUUGGAGUGUUACAAAGAAAAAAAAAAAAAGGCUUUAGGUUGGAUGAUCAAGCACUCAAAAUUAGAAAACAACGAAAGUUUGACACGCAACUCUAUUUCCUCCUAUGCACAUUAAGGAACAGCUCUCAUGAAAUACUUAUUUCCUCCCACUCACUCCUUUAGCAGAGCAGAAUCUGUAUGUACCUGGAAGAAUUAUAUUUGCACAAAGAACAAUACUUAUUCUUUAAACUGAUCAGCUGGUUUAAAAUAAAGCUGUUUAGGACAGCAGAUAUUUUAAUACACACAGAAAUGCUCUUAAAAUUACUGCUUUACAGGUGCCGUUUAAAUGAACAUCCAUCUCAACUUCUGUUAUGAAGUGCCUGCUUUUAUUUGUAAACUAUCUAUUUUACAUGACUGCACUUGACCUAACACAAAGCCAAGCUAAAAUUUUACAGUACACCAUCAACAUCUGCCAGCCAAAUCUUCCCUCGUCACACCUGUGCAACCAGUCUUCAAUUACACCCUGGGCACACUUGCAUAAUCACAGAUAUCAGCCAUGUGGGGACGAGGCAUACUCAGACAUCUCAGCUGUGUUAACUCCUCCGUGCUCCAAAAAGAGGGGAAUGAAAAUUCUGCACAUGGAACUCAUAACCCUUAUGAUUUAUACACAUGUAUGUCGGUUUAUAUAUACUUCAAAAUAAACAAUUCAGUAAUCAAGGGAUCAGUUGAGAAGAUUUUCAUUGCUUUUACCAGAAGACAACUGCACAUGCACAGAAGCAAAGGGCAAAGACCACGACUUCAGGCUUAUCUCUAUGCAAAACUGAACUACUUCGCAUCGAUUUAAAAACUCCUUCAACUAGGAGUUUAUCCUUAAAAUGGGGUUAUAUAUGCAUCAAUACACAAACGUAUAUAGAAAUGUGUUUCAAAUGUGAUUUCCAGACCAAC
Molecule: long non-coding RNA, 3660 nt
Organism: Centrocercus urophasianus (Greater sage-grouse)
Lineage: Eukaryota; Metazoa; Chordata; Aves; Galliformes; Phasianidae
Exons: 3
Source: RefSeq, a predicted model, not a curated record